GAUCCUGGCUUAGGACGAACGCUGGCGGCGUGCUUCAUACAUGCAAGUCGAACGAGAAGCUUACUUCGGUAAGUGGAAAGUGGCGGACGGGUGAGUAAUGUGUAGAGAAUCUGCCCUGAAGUGGGGGACAACAGAGGGAAACUUCUGCUAAUACCCCAUAUGAGCGUAGUUGCGAUACUAUUCUUGAAAGAUUUAUCGCUUCAGGAUGAGUCUGCAUCUGAUUAGCUAGUUGGGGGUGUAAUGGACCACCAAGGCGACGAUCAGUAGCUGGUUUGAGAGGAUGAUCAGCCACAAUGGGACUGAGACACGGCCCAUACUCCUACGGGAGGCAGCAGUAGGGAAUUUUGCGCAAUGGGCGAAAGCCUGACGCAGCCAACGCCGCGUGAUCGCAGACGGCCUUCGGGUUGUAAAGAUCUGUCAGUAGGGACGAACAAUGACUGUACCUACAGAGGAAGCACCGGCUAACUCCGUGCCAGCCGCGGC
RNAcentral lists this ribosomal RNA (483 nucleotides) under uncultured bacterium. Its description in RNAcentral is "bacterial SSU rRNA". It matches the Rfam family "Bacterial small subunit ribosomal RNA", at positions 15 to 518 of the family's 1533-position model. The record is from RNAcentral.